GAUGAACGCUGGCGGCGUGCCUAAUACAUGCAAGUCGAGCGAACAGACGAGGAGCUUGCUCCUCUGACGUUAGCGGCGGACGGGUGAGUAACACGUGGAUAACCUACCUAUAAGACUGGGAUAACUUCGGGAAACCGGAGCUAAUACCGGAUAAUAUAUUGAACCGCAUGGUUCAAUAGUGAAAGACGGUUUUGCUGUCACUUAUAGAUGGAUCCGCGCCGCAUUAGCUAGUUGGUAUGGUAACGGCUUACCAAGGCGACGAUGCGUAGCCGACCUGAGGGGGUGAUCGGCCACACUGGAACUGAGACACGGUCCAGACUCCUACGGGAGGCAGCAGUAGGGAAUCUUCCGCAAUGGGCGAAAGCCUGACGGAGCAACGCCGCGUGAGUGAUGAAGGUCUUCGGAUCGUAAAACUCUGUUAUUAGGGAAGAACAAAUGUGUAAGUAACUAUGCACGUCUUGACGGUACCUAAUCAGAAAGCCACGGCUAACUACGUG
This 497-nucleotide ribosomal RNA is filed under the name uncultured bacterium. RNAcentral's name for it is "partial 16S ribosomal RNA". It matches the Rfam family "Bacterial small subunit ribosomal RNA", at positions 28 to 507 of the family's 1533-position model. The record is from RNAcentral.